AACGAACGCUGGCGGCGCGCCUAAUACAUGCAAGUCGAGCGAGAAGACGUAGCAAUACGUUUGUAAAGCGGCGAACGGGUGAGGAAUACAUGGGUAACCUACCCUCGAGUGGGGAAUAACUAGCCGAAAGGUUAGCUAAUACCGCGUACGCUCCUUGGACUUCGGUUCAGGGAGGAAAGCGAUACCGUGGGUAUCGCGCUCUUGGAUGGGCUCAUGUCCUAUCAGCUUGUUGGUGAGGAACGGCUCACCAAGGCUUCGACGGGUAGCUGGUCUGAGAGGACAAUCAGCCACACUGGCACUGCGACACGGGCCAGACUCCUACGGGAGGCAGCAGUAAGGAAUAUUGCGCAAUGGGCGAAAGCCUGACGCAGCGACGCCGCGUGAGGGAUGACGGCCU
This 397-nucleotide ribosomal RNA is filed under the name uncultured bacterium. RNAcentral's name for it is "bacterial SSU rRNA". It matches the Rfam family "Bacterial small subunit ribosomal RNA", at positions 29 to 417 of the family's 1533-position model. The record is from RNAcentral.